This 429-nucleotide ribosomal RNA is filed under the name Gemmatimonadota bacterium. RNAcentral describes it as "Gemmatimonadetes bacterium partial 16S ribosomal RNA". It matches the Rfam family "Bacterial small subunit ribosomal RNA", at positions 355 to 776 of the family's 1533-position model. The record is from RNAcentral. Lineage: Bacteria; Pseudomonadati; Gemmatimonadota.
UAGGGAAUCUUCGGCAAUGGACGAAAGUCUGACCGAGCAACGCCGCGUGAGUGAAGAAGGUUUUCGGAUCGUAAAACUCUGUUGUUAGAGAAGAACAAGGACGUUAGUAACUGAACGUCCCCUGACGGUAUCUAACCAGAAAGCCACGGCUAACUACGUGCCAGCAGCCGCGGUAAUACGUAGGUGGCAAGCGUUGUCCGGAUUUAUUGGGCGUAAAGCGAGCGCAGGCGGUUUCUUAAGUCUGAUGUGAAAGCCCCCGGCUCAACCGGGGAGGGUCAUUGGAAACUGGGAGAGUUGAGUGCGGAAGAGGCGGGUGGAAUUCCAUGUGUAGCGGUGAAAUGCGUAGAUGUAUGGAGGAACACCAGUGGCGAAGGCGGCUCUCUGGUCUGUAACUGACGCUGAGGCUCGAAAGCGUGGGGAGCAAACAGG